This is a non-coding RNA of Paramuricea clavata, 936 nucleotides long. Lineage: Eukaryota; Metazoa; Cnidaria; Anthozoa; Malacalcyonacea; Plexauridae. The record is from the annotation of a GenBank genome assembly.
AAAAUCGUUAAGCUAAAUGCUAAAAAACGAAUUUCGUGAAAGAAAUACAACUAAACUUAUACUGUGUCCAAUUUACACACGAAAAUUAAGGAUGUUGAAAACGAAAAGAGCAGAAUUAAACUGUUACAAAUAGACUCUGGAAAUUAUUUUAAAGAUCGUCCCCAAAUAGAGAUUGAGUCUGAUUCUGAAUUAGUAUACGAAACCAUCCAAGCCAAGCGGGCAUCUUCUGAUCAACCACUCAAUAUCUAAUACAGAAAAAGAUUUCCACAUUAAACAGUUAGCAAACAGAAGCGCCGUAAAAAAGGAAGGGCAUGAAAUCCGAAUCAAACUUGUCUGUUUCAACUGCUCUCCAACCGACGAGUCCAUCAAAGAAGCAUCGCCGAUGAGUCUAUUGUCAAGAAUAUUAUUGGUACAAAUGUGAGUGACAUUCCGAGCAUUAUUUUAUCCUGCAGCCGUUCCCUAUACGGCCACGACAUCUUAUAUGGAAGAUUUCGUCAAGCCAUUUCCGAGGAAGUCACCCGACAAGUUAAAAAAUAAAUCCUACAUGCAGGCACGAACGAUCUGAGGAGUGUUAUCGCUGACUAGAACUUAAUUUAGUAACGCACGUAAAAGAAGAUUCUGCUAAGGGCAUGUAUAAACUUGCUUUAAUGCACCAAUUCGUUAAGCGAAUAUUCAGAGACCAUUAAAAACCAAUUAAGACACACACACAGAAUGUUGUGGGAGAAGGGUUGCUGGGGGGAAAUGCUCCGAUUAUACUUUAAACUGUGGCCAUGGUGUCACCCCACAGACUCACUAUUACAGCAUUAUGAUUAUGAUAUAAUUAUAUGUCCUCAGGGGGUCGUGGUUCCCCCAUGUUGGACUUUACCCAAGGGGUAGUAGAUCCCCGAGAUGGGCAUCCUGAAUGUCCAAGGGGUAGUAGAUCCCCGUGAUGGUCAU